Molecule: ribosomal RNA, 702 nt
Filed under: uncultured Sphaerochaeta sp.
Lineage: Bacteria; Pseudomonadati; Spirochaetota; Spirochaetia; Spirochaetales; Sphaerochaetaceae
Description: bacterial SSU rRNA
Rfam family: Bacterial small subunit ribosomal RNA
Source: RNAcentral
AGAGUUUGAUCCUGGCUCAGAACGAACGCUGGCGGCGCGUUUUAAGCAUGCAAGUCGAGCGGCAGGGGCCUUUGGGCCCCUAGAGCGGCGGACGGGUGAGUAACACGUGGACAAUCUGCCCCCCGGCCGGGGAUAGCCCAGGGAAACCUGGAUUAAUACCGGAUGAGACGGGACCCGCGGAGGCGGGAUCCGGGAAAGGCGCUGCGGCGCCGCCGGGGGAUGAGUCUGCGUCCCAUUAGCUAGACGGCGGGGUGAAGGCCCACCGUGGCGACGAUGGGUAGCCGGCCUGAGAGGGUGGACGGCCACAUUGGAACUGAGACACGGUCCAGACUCCUACGGGAGGCAGCAGCUAAGAAUCUUCCGCAAUGGGCGAAAGCCUGACGGAGCGACGCCGCGUGAACGAAGAAGGCCGUGAGGUUGUAAAGUUCUUUUCGGGAGGGGGAACAACCGUGGCAGGGAAUGGCCGCGGGAUGACGUGAAUCCCGGAAUAAGCCCCGGCUAACUACGUGCCAGCAGCCGCGGUAACACGUAGGGGGCGAGCGUUGUUCGGAAUCAUUGGGCGUAAAGGGCGUGCAGGCGGUCCUGCAAGUCCGGCGUGAAAGACCCCGGCCCAACCGGGGGGGCGCGCUGGAAACUGCAGGGCUUGAGUACAGGAGGGGAUGCCGGAAUUCCAGGUGUAGGGGUGAAAUCUGUAGAUAUCUG